ACGUGGUUAAUGCCACGUUAAAAAUUGAAACUGAAAAUCGCCGAUGCAGGGAGUUCAGACCUCCCUGCAUCGACUGUCCAUAGAAUCCUUAACGGAGGUUCCUAUGUGU
RNAcentral lists this non-coding RNA (109 nucleotides) under Escherichia coli. The record is from RNAcentral. RNAcentral also lists the same sequence under 1 other name. Lineage: Bacteria; Pseudomonadati; Pseudomonadota; Gammaproteobacteria; Enterobacterales; Enterobacteriaceae.